GGGUUGGGAUGUUGGUGUCGGCUGGGGGCUGCUGUGAGGCGCUUGGUAGCACCCAGUCCUGAUACUCUCCAGUUACCCGGUAGGCGGGGCUCGGACACAAAGAAAAGAGAUCUUUGGGGGCUUGGAUGGAGGAACAGGAAAAGAGGAGCCAGGCUUUUUUGGAAAAUUGGCGGCAGCGGUGGCAUACGGGAAACUGAAAUCUUUAUCUAAUCUCAUCCUUUGUAUAUUCGUCUUGGAUUUGCUGAAGAAAAUUAAAAGGCCAGGCCUACCACUCCUAUGGCACAGUAUUGAUGAGAGACAUCAGUGGAGCUCCCCACCUCCACCCCAGGCUUGGAACUUAGGGAAUGACUGGUUUUUGUCAUUUCACACAACAGCUGAAGGAUUCUGUCCCCACCUCGUCCUCUGUGAAGUCUGCUGGACGUACCUGCCAGAAUCUUCUGAAGAUGACGUUUGCUGAACACUGACCCACAGGGGUUUGAUGGAUUAUUGACAAUGAGACAAGCUGUCUUUUCAUCAAUUAGAUAUUCCAGUUGUUUCAGGUCAAUUUCCCAAGAUUUCUCUGGCUGGAGAGAAAGAAAGGAUGAGACUAAGAUGAUUCUGAAACAUUUAGGGGGAAUCCUCACUUAUCUCAAGGGUCCAAUGUAAGCAAUAAAGUCUGUCUCUGGCUUCAACCACCA
This 677-nucleotide long non-coding RNA is filed under the name Homo sapiens (human). Its description in RNAcentral is "HSALNT0386777". The record is from RNAcentral. Lineage: Eukaryota; Metazoa; Chordata; Mammalia; Primates; Hominidae.